Molecule: ribosomal RNA, 124 nt
Filed under: Escherichia coli
Lineage: Bacteria; Pseudomonadati; Pseudomonadota; Gammaproteobacteria; Enterobacterales; Enterobacteriaceae
Description: partial 23S ribosomal RNA
Rfam family: Bacterial large subunit ribosomal RNA
Source: RNAcentral
GGGUUGUGAGGUUAAGCGACUAAGCGUACACGGUGGAUGCCCUGGCAGUCAGAGGCGAUGAAGGACGUGCUAAUCUGCGAUAAGCGUCGGUGAGGUGAUAUGAACCGUUAUAACCGGCGAUUUC